AACGAACGUUAGCGGCGCGCUUAACACAUGCAAGUCGUACGAGAAAGAGUCCUUCGGGGCUCCGGUAAAGUGGCGCACGGGUGAGUAACACGUGGGUAACUUACCCUUUGGUAAAGGAUAACGUCCCGAAAGGGGCGCUAAUACUUCAUAAGACCGCAUCCUGUGAUGGAUGCGGUGAAAGCUGGCCUCUUCUUGAAAGCUAGCGCCAGAGGAUAGGCCCGCGGCCCAUCAGGUAGUUGGUAGGGUAAUGGCCUACCAAGCCUAAGACGGGUAGCUGGUCUGAGAGGAUGAUCAGCCACACUGGAACUGAGACACGGUCCAG
This 322-nucleotide ribosomal RNA is filed under the name uncultured bacterium. RNAcentral's name for it is "bacterial SSU rRNA". It matches the Rfam family "Bacterial small subunit ribosomal RNA", at positions 29 to 334 of the family's 1533-position model. The record is from RNAcentral.